Molecule: ribosomal RNA, 492 nt
Filed under: uncultured bacterium
Lineage: Bacteria
Description: partial 16S ribosomal RNA
Rfam family: Bacterial small subunit ribosomal RNA
Source: RNAcentral
AGUGAACGCUGGCGGUAGGCCUAACACAUGCAAGUCGAACGGCAGCACAGUAAGAGCUUGCUCUUACGGGUGGCGAGUGGCGGACGGGUGAGGAAUACAUCGGAAUCUACUUUUUCGUGGGGGAUAACGUAGGGAAACUUACGCUAAUACCGCAUACGACCUACGGGUGAAAGCAGGGGAUCUUCGGACCUUGCGCGAUUGAAUGAGCCGAUGUCGGAUUAGCUAGUUGGCGGGGUAAAGGCCCACCAAGGCGACGAUCCGUAGCUGGUCUGAGAGGAUGAUCAGCCACACUGGAACUGAAACACGGUCCAGACUCCUACGGGAGGAAGCAGUGGAGAAUAUUGGACAAUGGGCGCAAGCCUGAUCCAGCCAUACCGAGUGGGUGAAGAAGGCCUUCGGGUUGUAAAGCCAUUUUGUUGGGAAAGAAAAGCAGCAGGUUAAUACCCCGCUGUUCUGACGGUAACCAAAGAAUAAGCACCGGCUAACUUCGUG